Molecule: ribosomal RNA, 428 nt
Filed under: uncultured bacterium
Lineage: Bacteria
Description: partial 16S ribosomal RNA
Rfam family: Bacterial small subunit ribosomal RNA
Source: RNAcentral
GUGGGGAAUAUUGGGCAAUGGGGGCAACCCUGACCCAGCAACGCCGCGUGAGGGAAGAAGGUUUUCGGAUUGUAAACCUCUGUCCUAUGGGAAGAAGGAAGUGACGGUACCAUAGGAGGAAGCCCCGGCUAACUACGUGCCAGCAGCCGCGGUAAUACGUAGGGGGCGAGCGUUGUCCGGAAUUACUGGGCGUAAAGGGUGCGCAGGUGGCCUGACAAGUCAGAUGUGAAAUACCGAUGCUUAACGUCGGGGCUGCAUUUGAAACUAUGAGGCUGGAGUGCAGGAGAGGGAAGCGGAAUUCCUAGUGUAGCGGUGAAAUGCAUAGAUAUUAGGAGGAACACCAGUGGCGAAGGCGGCUUACUGGACUGUAACUGACGCUGAGGCGCGAAAGUGUGGGGAGCAAACAGGAUUAGAUACCCUUGUAGUCC